This 29-nucleotide non-coding RNA is filed under the name Homo sapiens (human). The record is from RNAcentral. Lineage: Eukaryota; Metazoa; Chordata; Mammalia; Primates; Hominidae.
GCUCUGAGGUCCUCGGGGAUGGUUGUUGC